GAUGAAGAACGUAGCGAAAUGCGAUACUUGGUGUGAAUUGCAGAAUCUCGUGAACCAUCGAGUCUUUGAACGCAAGUUGCGCCCGAAGCCAUCAGGUUGAGGGCACGUCUGCCUGGGCGUCACAUAUCGUUGCCCAAUGCCUAUUGCAGUGCAAUAGGAAUUUCUAGGGCGAAUGAUGGCUUCCCGUGAGCGUUGUUGCCUCGCGGUUGGUUGAAAAUCGAGUCCUUGGUAGGGUGUGCCAUGGUAGAUGGUGGUCGAGUUAGAACGAUACCGAUCAUGUGCAUGCUCCCCAAAAUAUGGCCUCUAUGACCCACACGCGUCUUUUGACGCUCAUGACGAGACCUCAGGUCAGGCGGGGCUACCCGCUGAAUUUAAGCAUAUCAAUAAGCGGAGGA
This 395-nucleotide unclassified non-coding RNA is filed under the name soil metagenome. RNAcentral's name for it is "partial contains 5.8S ribosomal RNA, internal transcribed spacer 2, and large subunit ribosomal RNA". The stretch from base 1 to 122 matches the Rfam family "5.8S ribosomal RNA", at positions 35 to 154 of the family's 154-position model. The record is from RNAcentral.